This 1526-nucleotide ribosomal RNA is filed under the name Pseudoalteromonas sp. S1650. RNAcentral's name for it is "partial 23S ribosomal RNA". It matches the Rfam family "Bacterial large subunit ribosomal RNA", at positions 1 to 1584 of the family's 2925-position model. Lineage: Bacteria; Pseudomonadati; Pseudomonadota; Gammaproteobacteria; Alteromonadales; Pseudoalteromonadaceae. The record is from RNAcentral.
GUUGUAUGGUUAAGUGACUAAGCGUACACGGUGGAUGCCUUGGCAGUUGGAGGCGAUGAAGGACGUAUUAACUUGCGAUAAGCCUAGUCAAGCUAGUAAAAAGCGCUUGAGACUAGGAUUUCCGAAUGGGGAAACCCACCUGCUUGCAGGUAUCUUACACUGAAUACAUAGGUGUAAGAGGCGAACGCGGAGAACUGAAACAUCUAAGUACCCGUAGGAACAGAAAUCAACCGAGAUUCCGGAAGUAGCGGCGAGCGAAACCGGACCAGCCCUUAAGCUUAUUAUGUGUUAGUGGAACAUUCUGGAAAGUUUGACGAUACAGGGUGAUAGUCCCGUACACGAAAAUGCAUCUUAAGUGAAAUCGAGUAGGUCGGAGCACGUGAAACUUUGACUGAAUAUAGGUGGACCAUCAUCUAAGGCUAAAUACUCCCAACUGACCGAUAGUGAACCAGUACCGUGAGGGAAAGGCGAAAAGAACCCCUGUGAGGGGAGUGAAAUAGAACCUGAAACCGUGUACGUACAAGCAGUAGGAGCCCUUCGAGGGUGACUGCGUACCUUUUGUAUAAUGGGUCAGCGACUUAUAUUUUGUAGCGAGGUUAACCGAUUAGGGUAGCCGUAGGGAAACCGAGUCUUAACUGGGCGUAUAGUUGCAAGGUAUAGACCCGAAACCCGGUGAUCUAGCCAUGGGCAGGUUGAAGGUUGAGUAACAUCAACUGGAGGACCGAACCCACUAACGUUGAAAAGUUAGGGGAUGACCUGUGGCUAGGAGUGAAAGGCUAAUCAAACCGGGAGAUAGCUGGUUCUCCCCGAAAUCUAUUUAGGUAGAGCCUCGGACGAAUACUUACGGGGGUAGAGCACUGUUAAGGCUAGGGGGUCAUCCCGACUUACCAACCCUUUGCAAACUCCGAAUACCGUAAAGUACUAUCCGGGAGACACACGGCGGGUGCUAACGUCCGUCGUGAAGAGGGAAACAACCCAGACCGCCAGCUAAGGUCCCAAAGUCAUAGUUAAGUGGGAAACGAUGUGGAAAGGCCCAGACAGCCAGGAGGUUGGCUUAGAAGCAGCCAUCCUUUAAAGAAAGCGUAAUAGCUCACUGGUCGAGUCGGUCUGCGCGGAAGAUGUAACGGGGCUAAACUAUGCACCGAAGCUGCGGAUUCAAACUUUGUUUGAGUGGUAGGGGAGCGUUCUGUAAGCCGUUGAAGGUGUACCGGGAGGUUUGCUGGAGGUAUCAGAAGUGCGAAUGCUGACAUGAGUAACGAUAAUGCGGGUGAAAAACCCGCACGCCGGAAGACCAAGGGUUCCUAUCCCAUGUUAAUCAGGGUAGGGUAAGUCGACCCCUAAGGCGAGGCCGAAAGGCGUAGUCGAUGGGAAACGGGUUAAUAUUCCCGUACUUGGUAUAAUUGCGAUGGGGGGACGGAGCAGGCUAAACAAGCAUGGCGUUGGUUGUCCAUGUGAAAGUGAGUAGGUUGGUGACUUAGGAAAAUCCGGGUUGCUAAGACUGAGACACGAGACGAGCCACUAAGGUG